GCUCUUUUCUUGUUGGACUACUGGAAAUUAUGAUGAGCAGUGCAAUAUUAAAAGGGCAU
RNAcentral lists this microRNA precursor (59 nucleotides) under Microcaecilia unicolor. Its description in RNAcentral is "Mun-Mir-130-P1a_pre stem-loop". The record is from RNAcentral. Lineage: Eukaryota; Metazoa; Chordata; Amphibia; Gymnophiona; Siphonopidae.